AAUGAACGCUGGCGGCGCGCCUAAUACAUGCAAGUCGAGCGAGAAGACGUAGCAAUACGUUUGUAAAGCGGCGAACGGGUGAGGAAUACAUGGGUAACCUACCCUAGAGUGGGGAAUAACUAGCCGAAAGGUUAGCUAAUACCGCGUACGCUCCUUGGACUUCGGUUCAGGGAGGAAAGCGAUGCCGAGGGUAUCGCGCUCUUGGAUGGGCUCAUGUCCUAUCAGCUUGUGGUGAGGUAACGGCUCACCAAGGCUUCGACGGGUAGCUGGUCUGAGAGGACGAUCAGCCACACUGGCACUGCGACACGGGCCAGACUCCUACGGGAGGCAGCAAGUAAGGAAUAUUGCGCAAGUGGGCGAAAGCCUGACGCAGCGACGCCGCGGUGGGGGAGU
RNAcentral lists this ribosomal RNA (393 nucleotides) under uncultured bacterium. RNAcentral's name for it is "bacterial SSU rRNA". It matches the Rfam family "Bacterial small subunit ribosomal RNA", at positions 29 to 411 of the family's 1533-position model. The record is from RNAcentral.